Nannospalax galili (Upper Galilee mountains blind mole rat) is the source of this 106-nucleotide small nuclear RNA. The record is from Ensembl. NCBI's taxonomy places the organism in Eukaryota, Metazoa, Chordata, Mammalia, Rodentia, Spalacidae.
GUGCUAGCCUCAGCAGCACACACUAAAAUUGGAGUAAGAAUACAGAGAAGAUUAACAUGGCCCCUGCACAAGGAUGACACAAAUUCCUAAAAUGUUCUAUAUUUUU